UACCGAUAAAAGCUACUUUCGCAUGAAAGAAGUUUAAAAGGCGGCGUAAAGCUGUCGCUAAAAGGGAUGGGACCUGCGAUGCAUUAGCUAGUUGGUAAGGUAACAGGCUUACCAAGGCGAUGAUGCAUAGCCCGAGUUGAGAGACUGAUCGGGCCACAUUGGGACUGAGACACGGGCCCAAACUCCUACGGGAGGCAGCAGUAGGGGAAUCUUCCACAAUGGACGAAAAGUCUGAUGGAGCAAACGCCGCGUGAGUGAAGAAGGUUUUCGGAUCGUAAAAAGCUCUGUUGUUGGUGAAGAAGGAUAGAGGUAGUAACUGGCCCUUUAUUUGACGGUAAUCAACCCAGAAAGUCACGGGCUAACUACGUGCCCAGCAGCCGCGGUAAAU
RNAcentral lists this ribosomal RNA (388 nucleotides) under uncultured Lactobacillus sp. Its description in RNAcentral is "bacterial SSU rRNA". It matches the Rfam family "Bacterial small subunit ribosomal RNA", at positions 168 to 525 of the family's 1533-position model. Lineage: Bacteria; Bacillati; Bacillota; Bacilli; Lactobacillales; Lactobacillaceae. The record is from RNAcentral.